This 22-nucleotide microRNA is filed under the name Mus musculus (house mouse). Its description in RNAcentral is "mmu-miR-12195-5p". The record is from miRBase by way of RNAcentral. Lineage: Eukaryota; Metazoa; Chordata; Mammalia; Rodentia; Muridae.
UGGGUAUAACAGUCUUGGCUGG